This 548-nucleotide ribosomal RNA is filed under the name uncultured Glomeromycotina. RNAcentral's name for it is "SSU rRNA". It matches the Rfam family "Eukaryotic small subunit ribosomal RNA", at positions 551 to 1098 of the family's 1831-position model. Lineage: Eukaryota; Fungi; Glomeromycota. The record is from RNAcentral.
GAGGGCAAGUCUGGUGCCAGCAGCCGCGGUAAUUCCAGCUCCAAUAGCGUAUAUUAAAGUUGUUGCAGUUAAAAAGCUCGUAGUUGAAUUUCGGGAUUCAUCCGUUGGUCGGGCCUCACGGUCCGUACUGGUGUGAUGGGUUCCUACCUUCUGAAUAACCGGCAUGCCAUUAAUUUGGUGCGCCGGGGAAGCAGAACUAUUACCUUGAAAAAAUUAGAGUGCUUAAAGCAGGCAAGUGCCUGAAUAGGUUAGCAUGGAAUAAUAAAAUAGGACGGCAUGGUUCUAUUUUGUUGGUUUCUAGGAUCACCGUAAUGAUUAAUAGGGAUAGUUGGGGGCAUUAGUAUUCAAUUGUCAGAGGUGAAAUUCUUGGAUUUAUUGAAGACUAACUUCUGCGAAAGCAUUUGCCAAGGAUGUUUUCAUUAAUCAAGAACGAAAGUUAGGGGAUCGAAGACGAUCAGAUACCGUCGUAGUCUUAACCAUAAACUAUGCCGACUAGGGAUCGGACGAUGUUAAUUUUUUAAUGACUCGUUCGGCGCCUUACGGGAAAC